ACCAUUGCAGUGUUGCGACUGUAAGAUAUUUAAAAAAAAAUAAUUUCCCGCAACAAAAGCUGAAUUAAAACAGUUUACAAACCGUUGUUACUCCGCCAUAGCAAAAACAAUCGGGCAAUAUUAUUUUAUUUUGCGGAAUAAGUUUCCGUAAAAUUUUAAAACUUAAUCAUGACAGUGGGCCGAGAACGCAUAAUACCCUUUUCAUAAAAAACUUUACUGCAAUUUCGGUUUAACUUAAAACACAGGAAAAAUCCAGUCGUUACCCCAUAAAAAAACUAAAAAAACUCCAUAAUUGGAGUGCUCUAGUACAGGUAUGCAGAAUAUGUCGUGAAUUGAGUAAAGCUCACACAACAUUAUAGUGUUUCGGUUGUAAUGUACUUUUGAAAAUAUAUGUAUAUAUAUAACUUUACUGCAACUUUAACCGAAAUAAAAACACAGUUUACAACCUGUUGUUACCCCGUCAUAAGAAAAGAAAAUAGUCAAUAUUAUUUUAUUUUGCGGAGUACGUUUCAGUAAACCUUAACAAAUUAAUCAUGACACCGGACUGAGCACUUAGUACAGGUAAAUGGUGUCACACAUGCGUUAUAGCCAUAAUAGCCUUUUCCCAAAAAAACUUAUCGCAACUUCAAUUUAAAUAAAAAACACACAAAACACCCUGUUGUUAACACCAGGUUGAAUGUUUAUUACAGGCCUACAAACCUCACACACUGACCACAAACACGACCAUUAUCAAAAUGGCCUUCGUUCCGCGAAGAUCUUGGAUUCUUUCUGGUCGCGAAAAUCUUGGGUUUUUUUUAAAGAAUCAGGCGUUGUGAAUGGUAUUCCACGCGCGAGCGGUCAAAACAAAGUCAGUAAAAAUAUAUCGCAUUUGGUAUCGGCGCGUAAUUUACAAAAUUUCGUGUUUCCGUUACGGGACGCCUUUUUCCCGGACAGACAGACAAAAUAAGGCUAUUAUUAAAGAGACUAGCCGGGAAACCCGGCGUCGAAACGCCGGGUUAAGCCACAAGUAAAGGUGUGAUCCGGCAUUGAACACUCUGUGGAGCGCUUAAUAAGAGCUGUAAACUGUCCCACACGAUCAGGUGGAGCGCUUUAGUACAGGUAUACAGUAUGUCGUUAAUCAUUUGAAGCGCAUACAACAUUAUAGUGUGCGACUGUAACAUAUUUUUCAAAAAAUAACUUUCCCGCAACGAUAACUGAUAUAAAAACAGAGUUUACAAAGUGUUGUUACUCCAUCAUAGCAAAAACAAUCGGUCAAUAUUAUUUUAUUUUGUGGAAAAGUCUUUUUAAAAGUUAAAAAAUUAAUCGUGACACUGGGCUGAGCGUUUAGUACAGUUAAACCGUGUUGUACAGCGUAUAGUAAUAAUACCCUUUUGAAAAAAACUUUCUCGCAGACACAGGGCUGAGCGGUUAGUCCAGGCGUGAUUCCCAAGAAAGUUUAAAAAUUAAUUGUCACAGUGGUGGGCUGACCUUAGUAUAUACAGGUAAACGGUGUUGCACAUGCCCAUAGGCGUAACAGCCUUUUACAAAAAACAGUCUGUUUUUAACACUGGGCUAACCGCUUAGUACAGUUAAACACAGUUGAACAGGCGCAUAAGGCGUAUUACCCUUUUCCAAAAAUGUUCAUUGCAACUUCGGUUUAAAUAAAAACACAGGGAACAGCCUGUC
Hydractinia symbiolongicarpus is the source of this 1665-nucleotide long non-coding RNA. RefSeq lists it as uncharacterized. Lineage: Eukaryota; Metazoa; Cnidaria; Hydrozoa; Anthoathecata; Hydractiniidae. The record is from RefSeq and is a predicted model, not a curated record. The transcript has 2 exons.